RNAcentral lists this ribosomal RNA (676 nucleotides) under Gammarus incoercitus. RNAcentral's name for it is "partial 28S ribosomal RNA". It matches the Rfam family "Eukaryotic large subunit ribosomal RNA", at positions 491 to 894 of the family's 3401-position model. Lineage: Eukaryota; Metazoa; Arthropoda; Malacostraca; Amphipoda; Gammaridae. The record is from RNAcentral.
ACCAGCCCACCACGGCACGUUGUGAGGUCACCCACAGGCUCGACUUUCGAUUGUGAUCCUUGACGCCGAGCAAGCACAAUGCGUGUCGCAGAUGUUCCUAACCAGGCAACGUGUUGCCAGGAUCGUGGAACGACACGCGCUCAACAGUCAGGAUCGGGCGGAGACAGAGUUCUGGUACGAUCCUCUUGCGACGAGCCGGCUUCUGGCCAACUUCCGAUGCUCAGGUCUCCCGCAUGUGCCGCGGGAGAUCGCCUUGACGGUCUGGAGCUUAUACAAGUCCUCUCUUAGUCGGGCAACGGAAAGAGUGGUGUAAAGUCCAAGCCCAUCGGUCACGUCUCGAAACACGGGCCAAGGAGUAUAGCAUGUGUGCAAGUCUAAGAGUCUCACAAAACUUGAAGGCAAAGUGAAAGCAAGUAAGCGGCGGGUGAUCUACGGAGAGAUCCCGUCAGCUAGAGGGUCCUUCGGGGCCCUCCGGCUUUGGCAGAGUCGAUCCUGCAGUGGUACCGAAUACGUAUGCUCAGGCGCAAACUCCAGGCUCACGUUUCGCACUGGUUCUCGGACUGUGCUGUGAGCACUGUGGAGCAUGCAUGCUAUGACCCGAAAGAUAGUGAACUAUGCCUGGCGAGGGCGAAGCCCCAGGAAACUGGGGUGGAGGCCCGUAGCCGUUGUGACGUGC